UGAUUCUGACGGGGUUUACCGUAAGGCAAGAUGGCUGCAUCCAAGGAGGGGCAAAUAAAUUGUUGAGGCCUUAUUCCGUGUUGAGUCGCACAGAAGAUCUGGGGAGGCGUCUGUAGGCAGCGAGCAACUGGGCUCAGAACGGACUAUUGCAGCUGUCCUGCUCCCCGCCCCCUCACGCUUUCCGCUUCCUUCAGCUCUUCGGAAAAGGAAGAAAAAAAUAGUCGCGCCUGGUUAACUCACAUUCCCCAGGUGGUUUGAAUGAGUCAUAGAUCAAACCUGCCACCUAAGGCUGAAGUUCUGGCAAGUGACUCUGCUAGCCAUGUCCAGAAGUCUCAGGAAAAGAGCCUCUUUUCUUCCGGGCAUUCUGGCAGCAGGCAAUGUGAAGACAAAGCAGAGAGAUAUUUGAAGAUGCUGGCCUUGAAAACUAGAGUGAUGUGGCACAAGCCAAGAAUUGCCAGCAGCCAGCAGAAGCUGGAAGACAUAGGGAAGAAGCUUCCCUAGAGCUUCUGGAAGGAGAGCAGCACUGCUGAAACCUUGAUUUUGACUUAGUGUUGGUGAUUUCAGACUGAUCUCAGAACUGUGAGAGAAUAAAUUUCUGUUGUUUUAAGCCACUAAAUUUGUGACAAUUUGUUAGAGUAGCC
Choloepus didactylus (southern two-toed sloth) is the source of this 641-nucleotide long non-coding RNA. RefSeq lists it as uncharacterized. The record is from RefSeq and is a predicted model, not a curated record. Lineage: Eukaryota; Metazoa; Chordata; Mammalia; Pilosa; Megalonychidae. The transcript has 3 exons.